ACUUCCCUAAGAACAUUAUCACUUAGGUUUAAAACUAUGGCACCAUAGGUUGCCUUCUCCAUAGUUUCUUUGUCUUCUUGAGUAACUGUUUUAGGUAGCUUUUAUGGAUCUGUGAGGGCUUUCAAUUCCUUUUGUUGGCCAACUAUGGCUUUGAUCUUAGCUUUCCAUAAGGUAAAAUCAUUCUUACCAUCAAACUUCUCAAUAUCAUACCUUGCAACUUCCACCUUUGGGUUUCUUGAAAUCAAGAAUUUGAAUAUUCCUAUGCAUGCUCUGAUACCAAUUUGAAGGGGCAGUCACGUGUAUGAACAAGGAAAAGCCACUUAAUACAUGUUAAAGUGGAUGGUGAGAUGAUGAAGAUGAAGAGAGGAAGAAGGAAAAGAUGAACACACGAGAUUUUUAAGUGGUUCGACAAAAUACCUACGUCCAUUGUGCUUGGGAGCAAGAUGUCAUUUUAGUUCUAUGAUUGUAAUUUCAAAAUGAUACAAGGUAUUUGUAGUCUCUCUUAUGACUCUAGUUAAAACUCUAGUUAAAUCAAAAGUUAAAAGAAGAUGUUCUAACUAAUUUGUAAUUAUAUUUCUUUUACAAACGGAUAACUAAUUUGUUAAGAUUUCUAUAGUUAUGAGAAGUACUUUUAAUUCACUAGAAAA
Cucumis sativus (cucumber) is the source of this 647-nucleotide long non-coding RNA. RefSeq lists it as uncharacterized. The record is from RefSeq and is a predicted model, not a curated record. NCBI's taxonomy places the organism in Eukaryota, Viridiplantae, Streptophyta, Magnoliopsida, Cucurbitales, Cucurbitaceae. The transcript is spliced from 2 exons.